Molecule: ribosomal RNA, 397 nt
Filed under: uncultured bacterium
Lineage: Bacteria
Description: bacterial SSU rRNA
Rfam family: Bacterial small subunit ribosomal RNA
Source: RNAcentral
AUUGAACGCUGGCGGCGUGCCUAACACAUGCAAGUCGAGCGGUAACAGGUGUAGCAAUACAUGCUGACGAGCGGCGAACGGGUGAGUAAUGCUUCGGAAUCUACCCAAUGGUGGGGAAUAACCAGCCGAAAGGUUGGCUAAUACCGCAUACGUCCCACGGGAGAAAGCAGGGGAUCGCAAGACCUUGCGCCAAUGGAUGAGCCGAAGUCGGAUUAGCUAGUUGGAGGGUAACGGCCUACCAAGGCGACGAUCCGUGGCUGGUCUGAGAGGACGACCAGCCACACUGGGACUGAGACACGGCCCAGACUCCUACGGGAGGCAGCAGUGGGGAAUAUUGGACAAUGGGGGAAACCCUGAUCCAGCGACGCCGCGUGUGUGAAGAAGGCCUGCAGGUUGU